RNAcentral lists this long non-coding RNA (1002 nucleotides) under Olea europaea (common olive). Its description in RNAcentral is "long non-coding RNA (OEUR_LNC007387)". The record is from RNAcentral. Lineage: Eukaryota; Viridiplantae; Streptophyta; Magnoliopsida; Lamiales; Oleaceae.
GAAGAUGUUAGGGACACCUUAUCUCCUAAGAUUCGUCCGUUGAACCCUAAGGUUCUAAAUAUUUCAUCCAUUUCUAUCAAAUCUCUCCUACCCACGAAUUUUCUGCUAUUCCUCUGAGUGAGGUCGCUACUAUUAGUAAACCAGCUAACACUCCCACUCUCACUCAUCUUCAUUCUCUCAAAGCGAGUAUCCCAUUUGAGGGUAACAUUUAAGUUAACCAAUAGGGUACGACCUUCGGAAAUCUCUAGCUUUUGGUUAAUUUGGAGAAAUAAUUUUUUAUUCAUCUCAUUUCCUUAUGAUACUUUAUUGAUCCUUAUGCGUGGAAUUGCUUAAUCAUUGUUAAAACUUUAUUUAUUCAUUCAAAUUCACAUUACAUUAUCCAUUUGGCAUUUAAUUAUGCUUCGCUUAAUCACAUUUAAUCAAUUCUGUAAGUUAACAGUAUAACUUCAAAAUAUGAAUUUUUAUUCAAUAUUCUUUGUAAUUGAAAAAAAAAUUUAUCGCUAUCAUGACUUCUGUCAUGACUUUUCAUCACAUAAGUAUUUUGUGCGCAGUUACUCUAAUUUCUUAUUGUGAUAUUAAACUUCAAUGUGGGCGAAUAUGGGCUCACCUUUCGUAGUUGACCUUUAUGGGGGCAUAACUCAAUUCUCGUAUUCCCUUGACGGAUUGAUCUUGCCUUUGGUAAAAAUUUUGUUGUAGGCGAAAAAGUACUCGAUCAAAAUUUUGUUAUGGUAAAAAGAGGUUUGUUUUUCAUCCUUCCCAUGUUAUCAUCAGAAUUCUCAUUACUGUGACCUUGUUUUAGGUCUAGCCUUGGUUUAACUGUGUCAACAUUCAUGCUUCUCCUAGUACUUGUGAAUUUAUCUUUACUAGCAUGUUUUCCAACUUAUCCUUCAAUUUAUCUUCGGAUACCUACUUUCCUAUACAAGGAUUUUCAAGCAUGACUUUCUUUUUUCUACCAUUAGUAUGGUAUUAACUAUUGGUGCCCUUAGGGCUGCUUUUCUCAAU